AGGGUUCGAUUCUGGCUCAGAAUGAACGGCUGGCGGCAUGGAUUAGGCAUGCAAGUCGAACGGGGCCCUUCGGGGCCCAGUGGCGGAAGGGUCGAGUAACACGUGAGCAACCCGCCCCCAAGGCCGGAACAAGCGCUGGAAACGGCGUCUGAAACCGGAUGAGGACCCCCCUCGCAUGUGGGGUCGUCCAAAAUAUUCAUACCCUGGGGAUGGGCUCGCGGCCCAUUAGCUUGUCGGCGGGGCAACGGCCCACCGAGGCGACGACGGGUAGGUGGUCUGAGAGGAUCGGUCACCCACACUGGGACUGAGACACUGCCCAGACUCCUGCGGGAGGCUGCAGUCGAGAAUCUUCCGCAAUGGGCGCAAAAGCCUGACGGAGCGAUGCCGCGUGAGGGACGGAGGCCUUCGGGUCGUGAACCUCUGUCGCCCGGGACGUAUGAUGACGGUACCGGGAAAGGAAGCCACGGCUAACCACGUGCCAGCCGCGGC
RNAcentral lists this ribosomal RNA (489 nucleotides) under uncultured bacterium. RNAcentral's name for it is "bacterial SSU rRNA". It matches the Rfam family "Bacterial small subunit ribosomal RNA", at positions 8 to 518 of the family's 1533-position model. The record is from RNAcentral.